Molecule: ribosomal RNA, 254 nt
Filed under: uncultured bacterium
Lineage: Bacteria
Description: partial 16S ribosomal RNA
Rfam family: Bacterial small subunit ribosomal RNA
Source: RNAcentral
UACGUAGGGACCAAGCGUUGUUCGGAUUUACUGGGCGUAAAGGGCGCGUAGGCGGCGUGGUAAGUCAGCUGUGAAAUCUCCGAGCUUAACUCGGAACGGUCAGCUGAUACUGCUGUGCUAGAGUACAGAAAGGGCAAUCGGAAUUCUUGGUGUAGCGGUGAAAUGCGUAGAUAUCAAGAGGAACACCUGAGGCGAAGGCGGGUUGCUAGGCUGAUACUGACGCUGAUAGCGCGAAAGCUAGGGUAGCAAACGGG